RNAcentral lists this long non-coding RNA (1323 nucleotides) under Pongo abelii (Sumatran orangutan). RNAcentral's name for it is "lncRNA (ENSPPYG00000039762.1)". The record is from RNAcentral. Lineage: Eukaryota; Metazoa; Chordata; Mammalia; Primates; Hominidae.
GAUGCAAAACUACCAGAAACGCAGGUUCGCUGCAACAAUGUUGUGUUCAGCAUAGUACAGAGGACUAGCCUCCGCAAAUUUCCACCUCUCACACACAAGCAGCUACUGCCCUCAACCACCUGGAUUUGCACGGACGCCCCGUCCCCACCUCCCGGCUCCUGGGCACCCGGCCAGUGCCUUUGGCGCACUCAAGACAGGGGCAAAUGCUUGACACUGGAAAACCCCCGAAACGCUACAGACGACCCAGGCCAGGAAUCCAGGGGAAGACUUGAUCUCCGACGGCACGAAUGCCGGAGACGGCUCUCGAAGGGUCUCCCGACAGGUCCUAGCGCCCGCCGGCUGGAAGAGGUCCCGACAGGGUUAACCAACAGCCGCGCUCGCCAGCCAGCAGGGGACCGCGAGCCCACGGCCUCCGGAGCCGCGACGCGAGCGGCCAGGGCCCUCAGAGAAGGGUCAGCGGCAGAACCGCGACGCCCGAGCAACUUUCAGUGCUUCCGGCGUGCACCAGCCGAGCAGCGCCCCGCAGAACUCUCAACUCAGCUCCAGAAGCCCAGGCCCCUAACGCGUUCGUUUCUCCGACACCUGGCUCGGAGACCUAAAGACCGACAGCCGCCUGUCCCAGCACACACCAUCUGCAACCCUACCUCCGCAAAAGCAAAUGGCCCUUCGGCCGAGAAAUGUCGCCAAACUGCCGUCUUCCCUCCUCGGCCGCUGCGACAAACACCCCACAAAAUGGCGGCAGCGCCGUCGCCCUACAAUCCCCCGGUCGCCUCUAGCACCACCUACGCCGCGCGAACGCGCCUGCGUGACAGAGCCUUGCGCGCUCCCGCCGCUCCACCUAAGGGCGGGGCUCCACGUGACGUAAGAGCGGGACCCGAGCCUCCACACUGCGGCUGCGCAGCCCCGGCAUUUUUUUCCCACCCACCCCCACCAACGACCCCGGUCCCGGGGCCUCUGGGCCGGGAGGGUGUUUACGUUCUCUACGGGCUUGGGUGGAACCGGGAAGGAACGCCCGUGUCCCGCCCUAAGUGUGUAACGCGUGUCUGCCCCCUCCCCCGGGGCAACUCCCGAAGCAGCCGGCACGCGACAACGGCCCCAAAACCGCCCAGGGCGGGGCCUGGCUGGUGCCUGGGCUGUUCCGUGGACUGGGUGCUUGCAGUCCAGCCCACUUGGCGCUUCCAGUCUAAGGUGGAUUCGGAUAAGAGGCUGUCUCAGAAAACAAGCUCAAGGGGUGCUUAUCUUUUCAAGGCAUGUGCUCCUAUUCAGAACAAAACAAAAACCCGGAGGUUUCAGUGGAGACUCCUGACAAGGUUUUCCUGUUAG